Ahaetulla prasina is the source of this 978-nucleotide long non-coding RNA. RefSeq lists it as uncharacterized. The transcript has 3 exons. The record is from RefSeq and is a predicted model, not a curated record. Lineage: Eukaryota; Metazoa; Chordata; Lepidosauria; Squamata; Colubridae.
GAAAUGCCGGAUGAGCCGCUGUGCAGCAUCCCGAGGAAGGGGACUCCUCCAGUUGGCAGGCUACAAUGGGGGGGGGGCACACUCGGAGUGAAUGUGGGUCUUUGCAAAGAGGCCGCACUCCAGGCAGAGUUUGGGGGGGGGAGGGGCUUCCUUUCCCUCCUAGUCACAAUCUCAGCCAGCACAGGAAUUUCUUUCCUUUGAGGCUUCUUUUCCACUUGAUCCAGUGAUGCUGGGAAAGAUUGGGUGCUCCUUAUGAGCCCCAGGAAGGAGUCCCGUCUUUAGGAUGUCUUCCCAGCAUGCCAAGCAAGGGUGGGAGUGCCACGGUCGCCCCCAUGGACAAUCAGUGGCCUGGAUGAUUUCUCCGCAGGAAAGAAGCUGCUGGAAACGUUGCUAGGAGCUCCCUGGUGGAAGCCAGGAGUGAGAGGUUGAGGGAGCCCUGGUGAGAAUCCAAAGAGAUUGCUUGAGGCGGCUUUUCAGCACCAUGAACAAGUAUAGUACACCAGAGGUGGAGAAAAAAUUCCAAUCAUUCUGGUUGGACCUUGUGGGAAAUUCUACUCAAGCAUCAAGACCCAACAACCAGAGGGAAGCAACCACAAGUUUCAGUCUAUAACAGUGAUGGCGAAGCACUUCGGCAUGCGUGUUCCGCACAUGCGCUCCUCAGAACUGCAACCAGGAAGAAGAGCUGCCCAGGGGGCAUACAUGCACCGAAAAAGGUGAAGAGCCCGCAAUGGAGGCAAUCAUUCCAAGUCAAGAGGGAAUCUGCGUAGUCCGUCUCAAUAGCCACACUGUUGGGAGGAAUCUCCCUGGAGGAUCGAACUCAGGUCACAUCUGGGUUGGGUUGCCUGAAUGCAGUGAGGUCCCAGGAGUUUCCAACCGCCUUCAUUCAUCGUCUUCUGUUACACACAAACUGUUCUAAUCAAAGAGAUUUAUUCCCCUUCCCCUUCAGCUGACAUCAACUAAAUAUAAAUUCCUCAUUAA